RNAcentral lists this ribosomal RNA (49 nucleotides) under uncultured soil eukaryote. Its description in RNAcentral is "partial 5.8S ribosomal RNA". The record is from RNAcentral.
ACAUUGCGCCCUCUGGUAUUCCGGAGGGCAUGCCAGUUUGAGCGUCGUU